UUCCGGUUGAUCCUGCCGGACCCGACCGCUAUCGGGGUGGGACUAAGCCAUGGGAGUCGUGCGCCCCCGGACGCGGGGGCGCGGCGGACGGCUGAGUAACACGUGGCCAACCUACCCUCGGGACGAGGAUAACCCCGGGAAACUGGGGCUAAUCCCCGAUAGGCGAGGGGGCCUGGAACGGGUCCCUCGCCGAAAGGGCGCGCGGAGCUUCCCCGCGCGCCGCCCGAGGAUGGGGCUGCGGCCCAUCAGGUAGUUGGCGGGGUAACGGCCCGCCAAGCCGAUAACGGGUAGGGGCCGUGGGAGCGGGAGCCCCCAGAUGGGCACUGAGACAAGGGCCCAGGCCCUACGGGGCGCACCAGGCGCGAAACCUCCGCAAUGCGGGCAACCGUGACGGGGUCACCCCGAGUGCCGCCGAUAAGGCGGCUGUUCCCCGCUGUAAGAAGGCGGGGGAGUAAGCGGGGGGCAAGUCUGGUGUCAGCCGCCGCGGUAAUACCCAGCCCCGCGAGCGGUCGGGAUGCUUACUGGGCCUAAAGCGCCCGUAGCCGGCCCGGUAAGUUCCCCCCUAAAGCCCCGGGCUCAACCCGGGGAGUGGGGGGAUACUACCGGGCUAGGGGGCGGGAGAGGCCGAGGGUACUCCCGGGGUAGGGGCGAAAUCCGAUAAUCCCGGGAGGACCACCAGUGGCGAAGGCGCUCGGCUGGAACGCGCCCGACGGUGAGGGGCGAAAGCCGGGGGAGCAAACCGGAUUAGAUACCCGGGUAGUCCCGGCUGUAAACGAUGCGGGCUAGGUGUUGGGCGGGCUUGGAGCCCGCCCAGUGCCGCAGGGAAGCCGUUAAGCCCGCCGCCUGGGGAGUACGGCCGCAAGGCUGAAACUUAAAGGAAUUGGCGGGGGAGCACCACAAGGGGUGGAGCCUGCGGUUUAAUUGGAGUCAACGCCGGAA
RNAcentral lists this ribosomal RNA (939 nucleotides) under uncultured archaeon. RNAcentral's name for it is "bacterial SSU rRNA". It matches the Rfam family "Archaeal small subunit ribosomal RNA", at positions 1 to 923 of the family's 1478-position model. The record is from RNAcentral.